GCGUAACACGUGAGCAACCUACCGAACUGUGGGGGGAUAGCCGGCCUAACGGCCGAGUAAUACCGCAUACGCUUUCAAUGAGGCAUUUCAUUGAAAGGAAACCUACGGGACAGAUCGAGGGGCUCGCGGCCUAUCAGCUAGUUGGCGAGGUAACGGCCCACCAAGGCAACGACGGGUAGGCUGGUCUGAGAGGAUGGCCAGCCACAUUGGGACUGAGAUACGGCCCAG
Molecule: ribosomal RNA, 228 nt
Filed under: uncultured bacterium
Lineage: Bacteria
Description: partial 16S ribosomal RNA
Rfam family: Bacterial small subunit ribosomal RNA
Source: RNAcentral